AGCAAGCACCGGCUAACUCUGAGCCAGCAGCCGCGGUAAGACAGAGGGUGCAAACGUUGUUCGGAAUUACUGGGCGUAAAGCGCGUGUAGGCGGCUUGGCAAGUCGGGUGUGAAAGCCCUGGGCUCAACCUAGGAAGUGCACUCGAAACUGCCUCGCUGGAAUGCCGGAGAGGAAAGCGGAAUUCUCGGUGUAGAGGUGAAAUUCGUAGAUAUCAAGUGGAACACCGGUGGCGAAGGCGGCCUUCUGGACGGUGACUGACGCUGAGACGCGAAAGAGUGGGGAGCAAACAGGAUUAGAUACCCUGGUAGUCCACGCCGUAAACGAUGAGUGCUAGGUGUCACGGGCUUUGACCCUCGUGGUGCCGAAGCUAACGCGUUAAGCACUCCGCCUGGGGAGUACGGCCGCAAGGCUAAAACUCAAAGGAAUUGACGGGGGCCCGCACAAGCGGUGGAGCAUGUGGUUUAAUUCGAUGCAACGCGCAGAACCUUACCCGGGCUAGAAAACACAGGAAUCCGGGUGAAAACUCGGGGUGCCCUUCGGGGAACCUGUGGUUAGGUGCUGCAUGGCUGUCGUCAGCUCGUGUCGUGAGAUGUUGGGUUAAGACCCGCAACGAGCGCAACCCCUGCCGUUAGUUGCCAGCAUUAAGUUGGGCACUCUAACGGGACUGCCGACCUUUAAGUCGGAGGAAGGUGGGGAUGACGUCAAGUCCUCAUGGCCCCUAUGUCCAGGGCUACACACGUGCUACAAUGGUCGGUACAAAGGGUCGCGAACCCGCGAGGGGGAGCCAAUCCCAAAAGGCCGGCCUCAGUACGGAUAGGAGUCUGCAACUCGACUCCUUGAAGGCGGAAUCGCUAGUAAUCCUGAUCAGCAUGGCAGGGGUGAAUACGUUCCCGGGCCUUGCACACACCGCCCGUCACACCAUGGAAGUUGAUUGCUCCGGAAGUGGCUGCGCCAACCCGCAAGGGAGGCAGGUCCCAAGGAGUGAUUGGUAACUGGGGUGAAGUCGUAACAAGGUAGCCGUAGGGGAACCUGCGGCUGGAUCACCUCCUUUCU
This 1054-nucleotide ribosomal RNA is filed under the name uncultured Myxococcales bacterium. Its description in RNAcentral is "bacterial SSU rRNA". It matches the Rfam family "Bacterial small subunit ribosomal RNA", at positions 485 to 1533 of the family's 1533-position model. Lineage: Bacteria; Pseudomonadati; Myxococcota; Myxococcia; Myxococcales. The record is from RNAcentral.